AUAAUAUGAUGAGCAAUUUAAUCUAGAUAGGGACAACAGAAUUUCAUAAUGUGUUGAGAACAUCUAGGAAAUGCAGUUUUAGUAGAGCUUUUUUCGUUAUCUGACU
This 106-nucleotide small nucleolar RNA is filed under the name Hanseniaspora valbyensis NRRL Y-1626. RNAcentral's name for it is "Small nucleolar RNA snR64". It matches the Rfam family "Small nucleolar RNA snR64". Rfam says of the family: snR64 is a member of the C/D class of snoRNA which contain the C (UGAUGA) and D (CUGA) box motifs. The record is from Rfam by way of RNAcentral. Lineage: Eukaryota; Fungi; Ascomycota; Saccharomycetes; Saccharomycodales; Saccharomycodaceae.